RNAcentral lists this transfer RNA (82 nucleotides) under Daphnia pulicaria. RNAcentral's name for it is "tRNA-Leu". It matches the Rfam family "tRNA". From Rfam's summary of the family: Transfer RNA (tRNA) molecules are approximately 80 nucleotides in length. Their secondary structure includes four short double-helical elements and three loops (D, anti-codon, and T loops). Lineage: Eukaryota; Metazoa; Arthropoda; Branchiopoda; Diplostraca; Daphniidae. The record is from RNAcentral.
GAUAGUGUCGCCGAGUGGUCUAUGGCGCUGGUUUUAGGCACCAGUCUCUUCGGAGGCAAGGGUUCGAAUCCCUUCACUGUCA